This 240-nucleotide long non-coding RNA is filed under the name Elaeis guineensis (African oil palm). Its description in RNAcentral is "long non-coding RNA (EGUI_LNC057235)". The record is from RNAcentral. Lineage: Eukaryota; Viridiplantae; Streptophyta; Magnoliopsida; Arecales; Arecaceae.
CUACGACAGGCGACUCCCGCUUGAAACGUCAGCGACCUCAGAACAUCCGAGCCUCUCUCAGAACGACGAUGUGAAGAGCCAUUCUGCUUCAUCGGGCAUCCCAGCCGAGCUUCAACCGAUGGAUCCGAACUCUCUGAUAAGCCACGACAAGAGCCGCCACCCUGCUCCACUCUCUGCAAUGGAUUCCAUGCAGCUCCAUCACUCUCUGGCAAGUCACGACAAUAGACACCACUCCACCCC